Molecule: ribosomal RNA, 422 nt
Filed under: uncultured microorganism
Description: bacterial SSU rRNA
Rfam family: Bacterial small subunit ribosomal RNA
Source: RNAcentral
GAGUUUGAUCUUGGCUCAGAUUGAACGCUGGCGGCAUGCCUUACACAUGCAAGUCGAACGGCAGCAUGAUCUAGCUUGCUAGAUUGAUGGCGAGUGGCGAACGGGUGAGUAAUACAUCGGAACGUGCCCUGUAGUGGGGGAUAACUAGUCGAAAGAUUAGCUAAUACCGCAUACGACCUGAGGGUGAAAGUGGGGGACCGCAAGGCCUCAUGCUAUAGGAGCGGCCGAUGUCUGAUUAGCUAGUUGGUGGGGUAAAGGCCCACCAAGGCGACGAUCAGUAGCUGGUCUGAGAGGACGAUCAGCCACACUGGGACUGAGACACGGCCCAGACUCCUACGGGAGGCAGCAGUGGGGAAUUUUGGACAAUGGGCGAAAGCCUGAUCCAGCAAUGCCGCGUGUGUGAAGGAGGCCUCGGUGUAAGU